UAGUAGUACCAUAAAGUUAAUAUACCUAGCGGAAUAGAGAAACAAAGGCAUGCGAGCAAGCGAGAUGUUACUAUUAGUAAUACUGCGUAUUAAAAAGAGACGUGUGAUACAUGAAACCAGAACUCUUUUUUGACGUCCAGUCGGCAUUUAUCGGCACGUUGACAAUUAAUCUCAUGGAAAG
Aricia agestis (brown argus) is the source of this 181-nucleotide long non-coding RNA. RefSeq lists it as uncharacterized. The record is from RefSeq and is a predicted model, not a curated record. Lineage: Eukaryota; Metazoa; Arthropoda; Insecta; Lepidoptera; Lycaenidae. The transcript has 3 exons.